GACGAACGCUGGCGGCGUGCUUAACACAUGCAAGUCGAACGGAAAGGCCCCUUUGGGGGUACUCGAGUGGCGCACGGGUGAGUAACACGUGAGUAACCUGCCCUUGACUUCGGGAUAACUUCAGGAAACUGGGGCUAAUACCGGAUAGGAAUCCUUGCUGCAUGGGGGGGGUUGGAAAGCUUCGGCGGUUUUGGCUGGACUCGCGGCGUAUCAGCUUGUUGGUGGGGUAGUGGCUUACCAAGGCGUUGUCGGGUAGCCGGCCUGAGAGGGCGACCGGCCACAUUGGGACUGAGAUGCGGCCCAGACUCCUACGGGAGGGAGCAGUGGGGAAGAUUGCACAAGGGGCGGAAGCCUGAUGCAGCAACGCCGCAUGCGGGAUGACGGCCUUAGGGUUGUAAACCGCUUUCAGCAGGGGCGAAGCUUGUGGUGACGGUACCUGCAGAAGAAGCACCGGCUAACUACGUG
Molecule: ribosomal RNA, 465 nt
Filed under: uncultured bacterium
Lineage: Bacteria
Description: partial 16S ribosomal RNA
Rfam family: Bacterial small subunit ribosomal RNA
Source: RNAcentral